Molecule: ribosomal RNA, 461 nt
Filed under: uncultured beta proteobacterium
Lineage: Bacteria; Pseudomonadati; Pseudomonadota; Betaproteobacteria
Description: bacterial SSU rRNA
Rfam family: Bacterial small subunit ribosomal RNA
Source: RNAcentral
AGGAAAGCAGGGGAUCGCAAGACCUUGCGCUCUUGGAGCGGCCGAUGUCUGAUUAGCUAGUUGGUGAGGUAAAGGCUUACCAAGGCGACGAUCAGUAGCUGGUCUGAGAGGACGACCAGCCACACUGGGACUGAGACACGGCCCAGACUCCUACGGGAGGCAGCAGUGGGGAAUUUUGGACAAUUGGGGAAACCCUGAUCCAGCCAUGCCGCGUGAGUGAAGAAGGCCUUCGGGUUGUAAAGCUCUUUCAGCCGGAACGAAACGGUCACGGCUAAUACCUGUGAUCACUGACGGUACCGGAAGAAGAAGCACCGGCUAACUACGUGCCAGCAGCCGCGGUAAUACGUAGGGUGCAAGCGUUAAUCGGAAUUACUGGGCGUAAAGCGUGCGCAGGCGGUUUUGUAAGUCAGAUGUGAAAUCCCCGGGCUUAACCUGGGAACUGCGUUUGAAACUACAAGGCU